This 484-nucleotide ribosomal RNA is filed under the name uncultured bacterium. Its description in RNAcentral is "partial 16S ribosomal RNA". It matches the Rfam family "Bacterial small subunit ribosomal RNA", at positions 30 to 507 of the family's 1533-position model. The record is from RNAcentral.
AUUGAACGCUGGCGGCAGGCCUAACACAUGCAAGUCGAGCGGAUGAAGGGAGCUUGCUCCUGGAUUCAGCGGCGGACGGGUGAGUAAUGCCUAGGAAUCUGCCUGGUAGUGGGGGAUAACGUCCGGAAACGGGCGCUAAUACCGCAUACGUCCUGAGGGAGAAAGUGGGGGAUCUUCGGACCUCACGCUAUCAGAUGAGCCUAGGUCGGAUUAGCUAGUUGGUGGGGUAAAGGCCUACCAAGGCGACGAUCCGUAACUGGUCUGAGAGGAUGAUCAGUCACACUGGAACUGAGACACGGUCCAGACUCCUACGGGAGGCAGCAGUGGGGAAUAUUGGACAAUGGGCGAAGGCCUGAUCCAGCCAUGCCGCGUGUGUGAAGAAGGUCUUCGGAUUGUAAAGCACUUUAAGUUGGGAGGAAGGGCAGUAAGUUAAUACCUUGCUGUUUUGACGUUACCAACAGAAUAAGCACCGGCUAACUUCGCG